UACGGAGGUGGCAAGCGUUGUUCGGAAUUACUGGGCGUAAAGGGCGCGUAGGCGGCAUGGCAAGUCAGAUGUGAAAGCCCCGGGCUUAACCUGGGAAUUGCAUCUGAAACUGUUGUGCUUGAGUUCUGGAGGGGGUAGUGGAAUUCCCAGUGUAGCGGUGAAAUGCGUAGAUACUGGUAGGAACACCCAUUGCGAAGGCAGCUCGCUGGACAGCACGUGACGCUGAGGCGCGAAAGUGUGGGGAGCAAACCGGAUUAGAUACCCGU
RNAcentral lists this ribosomal RNA (266 nucleotides) under uncultured prokaryote. RNAcentral's name for it is "partial 16S ribosomal RNA". It matches the Rfam family "Bacterial small subunit ribosomal RNA", at positions 524 to 789 of the family's 1533-position model. The record is from RNAcentral.